AUUACCUCAGUAACGGCGAGUGAAGCGGUAACAGCUCAAAUUUGAAAGCUAGCUCUUUUAGGGUUCGCAUUGUAAUUUGUAGAAGAUGCUUCGGGUGUGGCCCCGGUCUAAGUUCCUUGGAACAGGACGUCAUAGAGGGUGAGAAUCCCGUAUGUGACUGGGUGCUUUCGCUCAUGUGAAGCUCUUUCGACGAGUCGAGUUGUUUGGGAAUGCAGCUCAAAAUGGGUGGUAAAUUUCAUCUAAAGCUAAAUAUUGGCCAGAGACCGAUAGCGCACAAGUAGAGUGAUCGAAAGAUGAAAAGCACUUUGGAAAGAGAGUUAAACAGUACGUGAAAUUGUUGAAAGGGAAGCGCUUGCAACCAGACUUGCGCGUGGAUGAUCAUCCGAACUUCUGUCCGGUGCACUCUUCUACGCUCAGGCCAGCAUCGGUUUCGGUGGUGGGAUAAAGGCCUUGGGAAUGUAGCUCCUCUCGGGGAGUGUUAUAGCCCUCGGUGCAAUGCCGCCUACCGGGACCGAGGACCGCGCUUCGGCUAGGAUGCUGGCGUAAUGGUUGUAAGCGACCCGUCUUGAAACACGGACCA
This 580-nucleotide ribosomal RNA is filed under the name Cadophora antarctica. RNAcentral's name for it is "partial large subunit ribosomal RNA". It matches the Rfam family "Eukaryotic large subunit ribosomal RNA", at positions 74 to 668 of the family's 3401-position model. The record is from RNAcentral. Lineage: Eukaryota; Fungi; Ascomycota; Leotiomycetes; Helotiales; Ploettnerulaceae.